This 564-nucleotide ribosomal RNA is filed under the name Petemathis tetuani. Its description in RNAcentral is "partial 16S ribosomal RNA". The stretch from base 169 to 471 matches the Rfam family "Archaeal large subunit ribosomal RNA", at positions 2150 to 2716 of the family's 2987-position model. Lineage: Eukaryota; Metazoa; Arthropoda; Arachnida; Araneae; Salticidae. The record is from RNAcentral.
UUAAUAAUAAAAUCUGCUCAAUGAAAAUUAAAUAGCCGCAAUUUGUGCUAAGGUAGCAUAAUCAUUUGUCUUUUAAAUAAAGACUAGAACAAAAGAUUUAACAUUUUUAUCUAUUUAUUAAUUUUAUAUAAUCUAAAUUAUUUUAUAUGUAAAAAAACAUAUAUUAUAUAGAAAGACGAUAAGACCCUAUUGAACUUAACUUCAGUUAAACUGGGGCAGUUAUUUAAUUAUAAUUUUAAAUUAUAUUUUAAUAUAAAUAUCUAUUACUAAAAUAAAUAAUUCAGUUACCAUAGGGAUAACAGCGCAAUUAUUUUUAUAAGUUCUUAUAUAAAAAAUAGAUUACGACCUCGAUGUUGAAUUAAUAACCUAAUUUUUUAAAGCAAAGUUUAAUAUAGGAAGUCUGUUCGACUUUUAAAUAAUUACAUGAUUUGAGUUCAGACCGGUAUAAGCCAGGUCGGCUUCCAUCUUCUAAAACUAUUUCUUGUAGUACGAAAGGACCUAAGAAUUUAAUAUUUAUUAGUUAUAUUAGCAAAUAAAUGCAUUAGAAUUAGAAUCUAAUAAAAC